GGGAUAAAGGCUUAAUUGAGUUGAAUUGUAUUAUCAAAGUCUUGAUGCAUGCAUACAGAGUGUGGGCAUUCAGAUGCUGAACAAAACUGAGCAUUAGUGAAAAGAAAGUUCAAAUGGAUGCCACAAAUACUUCGCACAAGAUGACCAAAAACAAAAUGGGGACAGCAUUUUUAUUCUCUCUCUCUCUCUCACUGUGAUUUCUAAUUUUCCAGCAUUUGAGACACAACUAGACAGCACAAGGAGCAUCUGACAGAGAGUCAAAACUCUCCUAAAAAAAUGAACCAUAAUCAGAUGCACAAGAUAUGCAAACAUAUCAACUCACAAAAGCCGUACC
RNAcentral lists this unclassified non-coding RNA (334 nucleotides) under Hevea brasiliensis (rubber tree). Lineage: Eukaryota; Viridiplantae; Streptophyta; Magnoliopsida; Malpighiales; Euphorbiaceae. The record is from RNAcentral.